This is a non-coding RNA of Lupinus angustifolius (narrow-leaved blue lupine), 97 nucleotides long. Lineage: Eukaryota; Viridiplantae; Streptophyta; Magnoliopsida; Fabales; Fabaceae. The record is from Rfam.
GUGAGCCGUGUAAUAGGCGACCAUUUCGCGCGGUUCGGGGGGCACUUGAGUCAGCCGCCGGCGCAUAAGUGAGUAGGGGCUGCGUCUUGACCCCUAU